Molecule: ribosomal RNA, 497 nt
Filed under: uncultured bacterium
Lineage: Bacteria
Description: partial 16S ribosomal RNA
Rfam family: Bacterial small subunit ribosomal RNA
Source: RNAcentral
GAUGAACGCUGGCGGCGUGCCUAAUACAUGCAAGUCGAGCGAACAGACUAGGAGCUUGCUCCUCUGACGUUAGCGGCGGACGGGUGAGUAACACGUGGACAACCUACCUAUAAGACUGGGAUAACUUCGGGAAACCGGAGCUAAUACCGGAUAAUAUAUUGAACCGCAUGGUUCAAUAAUGAAAGACGGUUUUGCUGUCACUUAUAGAUGGAUCCGCGCCGCAUUAGCUAGUUGGUAAGGUAACGGCUUACCAAGGCAACGAUGCGUAACCGACCUGAGAGGGUGAUCGGCAACACUGGAACUGAGACACGGUCCAGACUCCUAGGGGAGGCAGCAGUAGGGAAUCUUCCGCAAUGGGCGAAAGCUUGACGGGGCAACGCCGCGUGAGUGAUGAAGGUCUUCGGAUCGUAAACCUCUGUUAUUAGGGAAGAACAAAUGUGUACGUAACUAUGCGCGUCUUGACGGUACCUAAUCAGAAAGCCACGGCUAACUACGUG